This 69-nucleotide transfer RNA is filed under the name Alloalcanivorax profundimaris. It matches the Rfam family "tRNA". Rfam says of the family: Transfer RNA (tRNA) molecules are approximately 80 nucleotides in length. Their secondary structure includes four short double-helical elements and three loops (D, anti-codon, and T loops). Lineage: Bacteria; Pseudomonadati; Pseudomonadota; Gammaproteobacteria; Oceanospirillales; Alcanivoracaceae. The record is from RNAcentral.
CGCAAUAGCUCAGUUGGUAGAGCAACUGAUUCGUAAUCAGUAGGUCGGAGGUUCGACUCCUCUUUGCGG